CCUACGGGAGGCAGCAGUGGGGAAUAUUGCACAAUGGGGGAAACCCUGAUGCAGCGACGCCGCGUGAGUGAAGAAGUAAUUCGUUAUGUAAAGCUCUAUCAGCAGGGAAGAAAAUGACGGUACCUGAGUAAGAAGCACCGGAUAACUACGUGCCAGCAGCCGCGGUAAUACGUAGGGGGCAAGCGUUAUCCGGAUUUACGGGGUGUAAAGGGAGCGUAGACGGCAGUGCAAGUAUGGAGUGAAAGGCGGGGGCUCAACCCCCGGACUGCUCUGGAAACUGUACGGCUGGAGUGCGGGAGAGGUAAGUGGAAUUCCUAGUGUAGGGGUGAAAUGCGUAGAUAUUAGGAGGAACACCAGUGGCGAAGGCGGCUGACUGGACUGUAACUGACGUUGAGGCUCGAAAGCGUGGGGAGCAAACAGGAUUAGAUACCCCAGUAGUC
RNAcentral lists this ribosomal RNA (440 nucleotides) under uncultured bacterium. Its description in RNAcentral is "partial 16S ribosomal RNA". It matches the Rfam family "Bacterial small subunit ribosomal RNA", at positions 338 to 795 of the family's 1533-position model. The record is from RNAcentral.